GCACUGCCGACGAGUCCCAAAAAAGACGAAACAGCUGUUCAGUGC
Echinostoma caproni is the source of this 45-nucleotide non-coding RNA. The record is from Rfam. Lineage: Eukaryota; Metazoa; Platyhelminthes; Trematoda; Plagiorchiida; Echinostomatidae.